Molecule: ribosomal RNA, 744 nt
Filed under: uncultured Neocallimastigales
Lineage: Eukaryota; Fungi; Neocallimastigomycota; Neocallimastigomycetes; Neocallimastigales
Description: partial large subunit ribosomal RNA
Source: RNAcentral
UACGACUACAUAUCAGGCAUAUCAAUAAGCGGAGGAAAAGACCAUCCGCAAAUUCAUCGCCGGCUCAUAAGUCAAAUGCGGGAGCAGGAAGCCUUUCUCCUGCAUUUUCUGUCCAAUGGCGGAAAGCCGCCAUUGAAUUUCUAAUGGUUCUAUCAUGCAAUCUUCCCGGCGGUGUCGUACAAUGAUGAUGUACAUCAGGAAAGGAUGGAGGCAAACGAAUCAUGGUAGGCGUUGGCAUUUACGUAAAGAACAGUCCGGCUGCCGUCGCGCUGUAUCAGGCAGCCUUUGAGGCGAAACUUGGCUAUCAUGUUUUCAACAAGGACGGCACCCAUUUUCAUUCCGAACUGUCCAGAGACGGCGAACCGUUUGUGUCGGUGGUGGAAGCAAAGACGAACACCUUCGCUCACGCACAUCCCAUCGAGCUGGGCGUGGAUUUUGAUUCCCGCGAGAAGCUGGAGCGGGCUUUUGCGCUUCUGUCCGAAGGCGGAAGCGUGGAAAUGGACGUCUGCGAACUGCCCUGGAGCCCCUGCGCCGCCAUCGUGAGGGACCGUUUCAGCGUGCGGUGGUUUUUGAGCCUGCCGCAGCAUCAGCCGGAGGAGGGCUGGACGCCCGAAGCCACUGAAUAAGGAGGCUGCUUUUGCGGCCCGAAACCGACAUUCCAGGCUCUCCCGUGAACGAUUGGGCGAUCAUCUGUUGAUGAUGUGCCGUACCUACGCUUAGGAUGUUGAUCUACAGAGCGAGAGU